RNAcentral lists this long non-coding RNA (718 nucleotides) under Coccomyxa subellipsoidea. RNAcentral's name for it is "long non-coding RNA (CSUB_LNC000791)". Lineage: Eukaryota; Viridiplantae; Chlorophyta; Trebouxiophyceae; Coccomyxaceae. The record is from RNAcentral.
AAAUUUUCUCACAGCAUGCAUUCAUUAUAGCUCCUCGCUGUUACUUUCAGUCAUCUUGAUCCAAAUACAGGGGGAUGCCUCGCACAGCCAACACAGUAACAUGCCGCAAGCAUCAAUGACAUCAGGCACUCGUGCACCAAUGACUAGGGCAAUGCUACAGAACCUUCACGAAGUCUUAUUGCAACUUUCAUGGUAUCUUGUCAUUCACGGGGGUUCCUGGAAAAUCCAAGGUUCAGGUUCUUCAUGGCAGCCAAGGAGCCCGCCAUGGUUUCUCUCAUCUUCUCUCCAGCUGCUGCUGCGCUGGACCGUGCUGCUGCCGUGCUGCCGCCAAACCUGGCCAGGCCAGAAUACAUUUUUUCAAGCAUCUUGGAUGCUGAAUUUCUUACCUAUUUUGGCACGGUGAGCUAUCAGGCGCUGCAACUGUUGCCCUCGUGGAUUCCAGAAAUGUUAACGAGUGCAGCUGCACCAAGGCAAAUACAGCUAGGGAGUGUUUCAGCACUUAGGAUAUAAAAAGGUUAGUACAUCUUUUGGCUUCAAUUAUAGUAAGGAUCCCACACAGCAGCAGCAGCGCUUACCUGAAGCGUGACACAAACUCCUGCGUGGUGGUUGCCUGCGAGCGACCAGCGACGCUUGGCCGCGCAGCCGCAUAGGCGGCCGCAGCAGCCGCAGCCGGAACGGCGGCCGGGGCCGGGGCCGGCAUGGGCGCCACCGAGGGGAC